UCCCCCGGCAAUGGGCAAAGAGACCCCUUGGUGGGGGUGGGGGUAGUCCUCUAUUAGUCAGGGGCAGAGCAGAUGGCAGUCCUUUGGUCAUCCUAGUUUGGUGCCUAGCUUGGUGACCAAAGGUGUUUCAUGCCUAGGGCACAUAA
RNAcentral lists this small nucleolar RNA (146 nucleotides) under Neotoma lepida (desert woodrat). Its description in RNAcentral is "Small nucleolar RNA SNORA48". It matches the Rfam family "Small nucleolar RNA SNORA48". From Rfam's summary of the family: The snoRNA ACA 48 has been identified to guide pseudouridylation of the residue U3797 in the 28S rRNA subunit. Its host gene EIF4A1 (eukaryotic translation initiation factor 4A1) is shared with U67 and snoRNA mgU6-77 Lineage: Eukaryota; Metazoa; Chordata; Mammalia; Rodentia; Cricetidae. The record is from Rfam by way of RNAcentral.